This 555-nucleotide long non-coding RNA is filed under the name Homo sapiens (human). RNAcentral describes it as "non-protein coding lnc-TDRD3-10:1". Lineage: Eukaryota; Metazoa; Chordata; Mammalia; Primates; Hominidae. The record is from RNAcentral.
CACCCCCGUUGUGAUACUGUUCCUAACAUUCAGGAAGGGAGAGAAUGAUGUUAGUCCCAAUAUCGCAGGGCGUGUACAACCCAUUGUUCUGAAUAUCCAUGGGAAGAGAGAGUGAUUUUACUCCCAAUAUCGAAGGGAAUGUAUAUCCCUCCGUGAUAUUGUUUUUAAUAUCCAGUUGGGAAGAGGAUGAUAUUACUCCCAAUAUCAAAGGGAAUGUAUAUCCCUCCGUGAUAUUGUUUUUAAUAUCCAGUUGGGAAGAGGAUGAUAUUACUCCCAAUAUCGCACGGGUUGUACAUUGCCCUGUGAUAUUGUUGCUGCUAACAAAGUGGGAGAGGAUGAUAUUACUCCCAAUAUAGCAGGAGGUGUACAUUCCCCCUGUGAUGUUGUUCCUGCUAUCCAAAGCGGGAGAGGAUGAUAUUACUCCCAAUAUCGCAUGGGGUGUACACCCUCCCUGUGAUAUUGUUCCUAAUACCCAGGUUGGGAGAGGAUAAUAUUACGACAAAUAUCACAGGAGGUGUGCAACCCCCUUUGAUAUUGUUCCUAAUAUUUAGAGGG